RNAcentral lists this transfer RNA (76 nucleotides) under Quisquiliibacterium transsilvanicum. Its description in RNAcentral is "tRNA-Thr". It matches the Rfam family "tRNA". From Rfam's summary of the family: Transfer RNA (tRNA) molecules are approximately 80 nucleotides in length. Their secondary structure includes four short double-helical elements and three loops (D, anti-codon, and T loops). Further hydrogen bonds mediate the characteristic L-shaped molecular structure. tRNAs have two regions of fundamental functional importance: the anti-codon, which is responsible for specific mRNA codon recognition, and the 3' end, to which the tRNAs corresponding amino acid is attached (by aminoacyl-tRNA synthetases). tRNAs cope with the degeneracy of the genetic code in two manners: having more than one tRNA (with a specific anti-codon) for a particular amino acid; and 'wobble' base-pairing, i.e. permitting non-standard base-pairing at the 3rd anti-codon position. The record is from RNAcentral. Lineage: Bacteria; Pseudomonadati; Pseudomonadota; Betaproteobacteria; Burkholderiales; Burkholderiaceae. RNAcentral also lists the same sequence under 2 other names.
GCCGGCUUAGCUCAGCUGGUAGAGCAGCGGUUUUGUAAACCGAAGGUCGGGGGUUCGAGCCCCUCAGCCGGCACCA